UUCCAGACUCCUACGGGAGGCAGCAGUGGGGAAUAUUGCACAAUGGGGGAAACCCUGAUGCAGCGACGCCGCGUGAGCGAUGAAGUAUUUCGGUAUGUAAAGCUCUAUCAGCAGGGAAGAAAAUGACGGUACCUGACUAAGAAGCCCCGGCUAACUACGUGCCAGCAGCCGCGGUAAUACGUAGGGGGCAAGCGUUAUCCGGAUUUACUGGGUGUAAAGGGAGCGUAGACGGCUGUGCAAGCCAGAUGUGAAAGCCCGGGGCUCAACCCCGGGACUGCAUUUGGAACUGUGUGGCUGGAGUGUCGGAGAGGCAGGCGGAAUUCCUAGUGUAGCGGUGAAAUGCGUAGAUAUUAGGAGGAACACCAGUGGCGAAGGCGGCCUGCUGGACGAUGACUGACGUCGAGGCUCGAAAGCGUGGGGAGCAAACAGGAUUAGAUACCCUCGUAUU
This 448-nucleotide ribosomal RNA is filed under the name uncultured bacterium. Its description in RNAcentral is "bacterial SSU rRNA". It matches the Rfam family "Bacterial small subunit ribosomal RNA", at positions 329 to 794 of the family's 1533-position model. The record is from RNAcentral.